AGAUUGAAGGAAAUAAUCAAGUACAAAGGUUUUCAGGUUGCCCCUGCCGAAAUCGAAGCAAUGUUACUAGCACAUCCUGACAUAUCCGAUGCUGCUGUGGUUGGAAUGAAAGAUGAGGAUGCUGGAGAAGUACCGAUUGCAUUUGUAGUGAGAUCAGACAAAUCCCAAAUAACUGAAGAUGAAAUUAAGCAAUAUAUACACAAACAGGUGGUGUUUUACAAAAGAAUA
RNAcentral lists this unclassified non-coding RNA (228 nucleotides) under Hevea brasiliensis (rubber tree). Lineage: Eukaryota; Viridiplantae; Streptophyta; Magnoliopsida; Malpighiales; Euphorbiaceae. The record is from RNAcentral.